This 2007-nucleotide long non-coding RNA is filed under the name Chrysemys picta bellii (western painted turtle). Its description in RNAcentral is "lncRNA (ENSCPBG00000023431.1)". Lineage: Eukaryota; Metazoa; Chordata; Testudines; Emydidae. The record is from RNAcentral.
GCUUGUUUGUGCAAAUAGCCUGGGAUCAGGCUGUGAUUCCUGGAGCCUUUUUCUCCUUGCGGAGGUGGGGGGACGAGAGCGAACUCUGUGACAUCUCGGGGAGGCAGCAGGUUCCUGUGGCCCCUAUGCCGGGGGGAAGGACCGAGAGGCAGCAGGGAGAGGAUGUGAAGCAGGACCUGGCGAAGAAAGGGGGGGGCCCUACCGAUCCCCCCCACUCAAGAGGCUCAGAUGUGUGAAACAAAUCCCAAACCCUCUGUUAUGAAUUUUUUUUUUGGCACGCGCAGGAGGAAGUGAUGGAGUUGCUCCUUUCUGGAGAGCGGCUGCCAACCCCGAUGCAGCCCCCUGCGGCCCCCCAGCCCCUUUGCCAGCGUUUGUUCCUAGCAGAAGGGCUGUUUGUGUGUUGUGUGGGCUCCUGUUUUUUGUUUUAAGUGUGGCUACAAUCAUCUGCUGAGAGGCUCACUACUCCGGCUCGUUCCCUGCCAAUUUCCCUGAGAGCUGGCACUACAGGCGCUCCGGAGGCAACGAAGAGAGGCUGGGGAGGAUAGAUCGUGAAGGGAAAAAAAUGGACACAUGCCAUCGACGGAGCGGCGAGGUGCCAGAAUGCCAGCAGGCAGCAUGGGGCCAAAAAAAAAAAAAAAACGCCACACGGAGCGGAAAAGAAGCUGGCAGCCCCUCUCGAAGCAGGCGCUGGCUGAGUUGGCAGAGGUGCCAUGGAGGACGGGCUGCAGAGAGCAGGCAAUGCGGGAGAGAGAGAGAAAAACAGACAGACAAAUUGGCAGAGGCAGGACAGGUAGCAGACGGCGAAUGGGGAGAGGAAAAAGAUGCAGCCCGCAGCCUGGCCCCAAAGGGAUCCCUGUUCAUCGCUGGCUCUCACUGGGUCCAUCACACUGAGGAUUCCAUUUCUCCCGCCGAGAGAGUACAGCGCUCUGCUUGUAGGAUAGCCACGCAGCAGUCCGGUGGGAGCCUCCGCCCUCCUCCCCGUGCGCCCACUCCCACUGCGCACACUGAACUGCAUCAGCAUCCGCUGGCGUUGGGAGCUCGCAAACACUGCCCUGGAGAGGCCAGGCCAGGCGCCGUCCCCUCCUCGUAGGGAUAUUCCUGGAUUUCGGCUCUCCCACUGGGAGGUGUAGGAGGAACCUCCGAGGCCCCGGCAGAGGAUGUCUUACAACAGCCAGUCGGCAGUGCGCAGUGUCUCUCUCCGCACAUCGCCAGCUGGGUGCAACGGUGCACACGUGGUGAGCACACGGCACCGGGCCAGGGAGUUAGCAGUGUGCUGGGAGAAGGGCGGGUUAUGGCUUGCAGGGAUACACCCAUCGUUGCUCAGCUAUUGCCCGGGACACUUCAGACAGCCUGCUGGGAUGUGGGAAUGAGCAUGAAGGCCUCCUGGAAUUUCACAAACGGCUCCUUUGGCAGCGGGUCAUGGCUCAGGCCGGCACAGGCAACUGGUGAGAAUAAGUCAGGGCGCAUCCAGGGAAGGGGAAAGCAACGGUGAUUCGUUAUUUAUACGGCACCAUACGUAUACACGGAGCUUUACAAAACCCCGACACCACAAGGGCCUGCCCGCAAGGCACUCACAGUCGGACUGACAGCACGCCGGGCGGGGAUGGCCAGCCAUGAGGAGAAGUGGGCUCACAGCUGGGAUCUGAAAGGAGGGUCACAGAACCCGGGACGAUCACCAUCCUUUGUUAUUUGCAUCUCAGUAAUGUCUGGAGACCCCAAACUGAGAUUGUGGCCCCAUCGUGCUAGGGGCUGCACAGCAAGUCUCAGUUCCAGUCCCGGUCUCUAAGAGCUUACAUAAGACAGAUAAAGGAGAGGGGACACUGAGGCACAGAGCACCCUAGGUGACACAGCAGGCCAGUGGCAGAGAACCCACAUCUCCUGAGCCCCAGUCCAGAGCCCUAUCCACUAGACCACGCUGCCUCCCACAGACUCAACUCCGAUUCCUGAGCCAUGCAUACAAAGAGCUGCUCCCACCUCCACCCCAUGUUGCCAGAUCCAAUUCCACCG